AACACACCAACCAUUCCCUCCUCUAUCGCACGCAACCCCAGAUGCGAUCUCCCUUGCGGCUCUCCCCCGUCCCCGCCGUCGCCGUCGCCGGUGCCCGGCCGGCUCCUUCCUUCCUCGCCGCCGCACCCAGCCACUCCUCCCACUCCCCGCCCCCUCGCCGCCGCUUUCUUCUGCGUUGGAGACUUUGCAGCCCCAUGCCCGAGUCCAAGAUGCAAACUUUAUCCCCUCCUCCGGCACGGCGCCGGCGACCCGGCGGCUCCGGCCUUCCUCCCCGCCGCACGCGUAGCCCCUCUCCUCUUCCUUGCCUCCCCGCCCCCGCUUCCGCCGAUGGCCCCUUAGCAUCACCGCGGAUCCAGCUUCCCCCCCCUCCCCCGGGCCGGCGCCGACGCUGGCGACGGCGGCUCCGGCCGUACUCUCCAGCGCACACCUAGCCGCUCCUACUCCUUCUCCUCCCCGCCACCGCUUCCGCCGAUGACGUCCCCAAGUCCGCCGCCGCAGCCUACACGCGCCGGAGAUCCACAGCUACGAGACUGGUUGGAUCUAUCACUUAAUGAUGCUGCGCCAUCUUCUCUGCUCAUACUUUCAAGGUAAAUUUGGUUGCAUCGGCAAAAAUAUAAGAGUUUGAGAUCGUGCUGCUACAUUUGAUUUGUUUGCAAUGGGGUGGUUGUGUUUGUGAAGCGAGCUGGGAUGGCUGUUACCACGGCACUGUCAUGUGGUCGCGCUCCAUGACCGGCGGCGUUGCAGACGUGCUGGUGUUCCGCUGCAGAUGCAGCGAGCGCUGCUGCAAGCAGAGCGAUGGGUGUGUAGCAGGAGGAGAACCAUGCGACAGUCGCGUCUGUACAAGUCGAAGGGAUAAUAAUGUUCACGUGUUUGUUUUACACAAAGCUCACUUGAGAACCAUGCGACUAGAAUCGGAUGGAUGGCGAACUGACUGAUUUCCUCCAUUGGAUGACGCCUAGCAGCACCGUUGGCCAAAAGCCGCAUGGAGAAAUUCCCAUUCAUAAUGAUAGAUAUGCUUCAAGAGAUUUGGCACAGUCCCCCCACUCCAACGUGAUGGACGCAUCCCCAUAUGGGCUGGGUUUAGGGGUAAUGGACAGCCCAUACAUGUAGGGCCGGUUGAGGGGUCUGUUUCGUAAAAAAUAGAGUUAAGAUUGGUUACUUGGAUCUCCUCGUUGCUUUGCAGCAUUUCAAAAAGAAGCCGGUUCUUACACUGGUUUAUUUCUUUUCCUUUUAUUUUUUCAUUUUUAUCCGGUUUCCUCCGUUUUUUUUUCAUUUUCCCCUUCUCUUUUGUUUGGUUUUCUUAUUUCUUCUCUGUUUUUUUUGCUUUUCACAGUUUCUUUCAUUGUUUUUAUCGGGUUUUCUUUUCUUGCUUACUUUCCUUCUUUUGUUCUUCGGCUUUUUGUUUCUUUCUUGGGUUUCAAUGUUUUGUUCUUGUUUUCUUUAGUUUCUUUUUUUCCUUCUCCGUUUUUU
This 1470-nucleotide ribosomal RNA is filed under the name Triticum aestivum (bread wheat). Its description in RNAcentral is "partial small subunit ribosomal RNA". The record is from RNAcentral. Lineage: Eukaryota; Viridiplantae; Streptophyta; Magnoliopsida; Poales; Poaceae.